GCGUGCGUGGCUUAGUGGUUAACACGGUCGUCUCACACCUCCAGACUCGGGGGUUCGAGUCCCACCGUGGCCC
Non-coding RNA from Ameiurus melas (black bullhead), 73 nucleotides. Lineage: Eukaryota; Metazoa; Chordata; Actinopteri; Siluriformes; Ictaluridae. The record is from the annotation of a GenBank genome assembly.